UGCAAGUCGAGCGGAUCUUCAUUAGCUUGCUUUUGAAGAUCAGCGGCGGACGGGUGAGUAACACGUGGGCAACCUGCCUGUAAGACUGGGAUAACUUCGGGAAACCGGAGCUAAUACCGGAUAAUCCUUUCCCUCACAUGAGGGAAAGCUGAAAGACGGCUUCUCGCUGUCACUUACAGAUGGGCCCGCGGCGCAUUAGCUAGUUGGUGAGGUAACGGCUCACCAAGGCAACGAUGCGUAGCCGACCUGAGAGGGUGAUCGGCCACACUGGGACUGAGACACGGCCCAGACUCCUACGGGAGGCAGCAGUAGGGAAUCUUCCGCAAUGGACGAAAGUCUGACGGAGCAACGCCGCGUGAACGAUGAAGGCUUUCGGGUCGUAAAGUUCUGUUGUCAGGGAAGAACAAGUACCGGAGUAACUGCCGGUACCUUGACGGUACCUGACCAGAAAGCCACGGCUAACUACGUGCCAGCAGCCGCGGUAAUACGUAGGUGGCAAGCGUUGUCCGGAAUUAUUGGGCGUAAAGCGCGCGCAGGCGGUUCCUUAAGUCUGAUGUGAAAGCCCCCGGCUCAACCGGGGAGGGUCAUUGGAAA
RNAcentral lists this ribosomal RNA (594 nucleotides) under Bacillus sp. CH461a_14D. RNAcentral's name for it is "bacterial SSU rRNA". It matches the Rfam family "Bacterial small subunit ribosomal RNA", at positions 56 to 632 of the family's 1533-position model. The record is from RNAcentral. Lineage: Bacteria; Bacillati; Bacillota; Bacilli; Caryophanales; Bacillaceae.